UUAUUUGAUUUCCUUCGGGACUGAUUAUUUUGUGACUGAGUGGCGGACGGGUGAGUAACGCGUGGGUAACCUGCCUUGUACAGGGGGAUAACAGUUGGAAACGGCUGCUAAUACCGCAUAAGCGCACAGCAUCGCAUGAUGCAGUGUGAAAAACUCCGGUGGUAUAAGAUGGACCCGCGUUGGAUUAGCUAGUUGGUGAGGUAACGGCCCACCAAGGCGACGAUCCAUAGCCGACCUGAGGGGGUGACCGGCCACAUUGGGACUGAGACACGGCCCAAACUCCUACGGGAGGCAGCAGUGGGGAAUAUUGCACAAUGGGCGAAAGCCUGAUGCAGCGACGCCGCGUGAGCGAAGAAGUAUUUCGGUAUGUAAAGCUCUAUCAGCAGGGAAGAUAAUGACGGUACCUGACUAAGAAGCACCGGCUAAAUACGUGCCAGCAGCCGCGGUAAUACGUAUGGUGCAAGCGUUAUCCGGAUUUACUGGGUGUAAAGGGAGCGCAGGCGGUGCGGCAAGUCUGAUGUGAAAGCCCGGGGCUCAACCCCGGUACUGCAUUGGAAACUGUCGUACUAGAGUGUCGGAGGGGUAAGCGGAAUUCCUAGUGUAGCGGUGAAAUGCGUAGAUAUUAGGAGGAACACCAGUGGCGAAGGCGGCUUACUGGACGAUAACUGACGCUGAGGCUCGAAAGCGUGGGGAGCAAACA
RNAcentral lists this ribosomal RNA (700 nucleotides) under uncultured bacterium. RNAcentral describes it as "bacterial SSU rRNA". It matches the Rfam family "Bacterial small subunit ribosomal RNA", at positions 64 to 774 of the family's 1533-position model. The record is from RNAcentral.